UACUUGUAAAACGUUUUUGGUGUGCUUGUUAGAAAAUGUAAUAUGCCGGUAAAAAGUAUAGGCAACUUUAAAAAGUUUUUGACGUUUUCGAGUACCUCACUCCCUUGAAAAUUUUUUCCACUUUUGUUUUUUCAUUUAUCCUUGUUGUUUUUCUUGGUUUUUGUUAGCUUGCUCUUUUGCUCUUUGCCGUCGAAUCACCCGGCCCGGUACGCCUUCGUUGACGUCCGCUCGCCCCGCACGCUGAGCGGCUCUCGCUCUGUCAAACGCGGGCUCGUUCGUGCGAGCACGCGAGCCGGCGCGCCUGCGAGGCGGGCCGCGGGACGGCCGGCUCGCGGUGGCUAGCUCUGCGCGCGACUUACUACGCACCUCCCCUCCGCCGACCACGUGGGGGCCACCUUCUAGGCGCGCGGCCCGUAGGUCUCGAGGGCGCCUCGCCUCCGCCUCGCUCAACACGAGCGCGGUGAGGGAGAGGACGAGAGGGAGACGCGAGGUCCACGAGCGCCUUUACGGCGCGUCGAACUGUGGAGGCGGCCGGUAACACGAACCUCGCGGUACUCGCUGUCCGCGUCUGUAGUGUGGAGGGACCAGAGACAGAUUGGCGCAGGAGAGGUAAAGGAACUCUGGCACUCGGGACUCGCACGUCUGUGGUGCGCUGGUGCCGCUCGUGAGCAGCAGAGCAGUUCCAGUUCCAGUUCGUGAGCAGCAGAGCGGAGACAGAUUCGUAACAGCAGUGAGUGGAAGGUCCUUCAAAGCGCCUCGGCCUCUGACGGAGACGGCUAACGCGUAAAAGAAACGCAGACGUCAGUCGGAGAGUACAGAUCGUCAUGUGCGCAAGUAACGUCAGUUUCCAGUUCGUCUUAGCUGUUGUGGUACCGGUGGGUACAGGGUGUCUUGUGACAUGACACACCGAUAGACGAGGUGGGUGGAGAUGGCGAUGAAGUCCUGUCCUAGCUCCGUCUGUCAAAGAGCACACGACGAGCGUCAAUUUGUCGACUGUCCGUUAGAUGAGACGAAGUUAGGGUUCUUCCUCUCUCCACCACGUCUAUACCGCGUCACCUUGCCGUACCUCGUCCGUCGCUGAUAGCGCGUCGACCACCCCCACCUACGCAACCCCGAGUAGAGCUGCUAACAUGUCCGUCGUGUCUGUCAAGUCGCGUUGUUCCUCUGGACGGUCCUCGAACACGUCCUACACGUCAACUAUUUACCGGACGAUGCCUACGACGUUUUGGGUCUUUACUAAAUCGCUCUUCUCUAACAUUUACGUGAGUUACCCGACCUCCCCUGCGAGGCCCUCCGCAUGUCGGAGCAGUCGAGGACGGUCCUGACGUCGUGGUGUAUAGCGUAUAAGUACCUUACCUUUGUGUGACUGGUCAAGGCUGCGCACUUCUUCUUCUAACGGUUCGUGGAGGCGAAGAUGGGAUACUAGAAGGUACGACUGUAUUGAACAGCAGAGCUUUCUUAUUCGUUGCCGUGCGACAGCUGCACGAGUAGAGUCCUGCGUCCUCCUCACGACUGUAGUAGAUAGUCAGUGAGUUUGAGACUUCGAGUCAGUCUUAAGUAGUUAAACCAGAUGCAUGAAUGAAACAAUCGUUCGUGUUCCUUUAUCUCUAUGAAUUAGACAACGAACCAAUGACGUUCUUCACCGGUGUUGUAAUAAAGGUUUUGUAAAUCAAUGUAUGUAUUUUAUCAAUGAAAAUAGAGAAUUGGUACUUAAAAGUCCUGACUUACAUCAAAUGCCGGACAACUUAAUCUUUCUAGCGUCCGUACGUCCUCGCGACUCAGGUAACGACAACUCCUUGUGGUCGAUUGUUCAAUGGUCCUUUAACGACUUGGAAAACGAUCCUUCGUCUUCAAGGCCACCCCAGUGACAAACGGGACCUUUUACCAUCUUUGUCGAGGAACAUAAGUACUUGAGUUGCCUAGUCCCAAAAGUCCAAAAGUAAAGAGGGUUAACAACCGACGAUGUUUAUUAAAACGUAAGGUUACGUUUUAAUCUUCAACACCUAUGCGACUACACAUAUUCCCUGCUAACCUGUCACCUGAACUUCAGUACUAGUUUUCUAAAGUAGUUUUAUUGAGGGUAAGAAGUGAGUGUAAACUUUUACUUCAGGCGAAAGUACGUUUCGAAGAUGUGUUUUUGCAACGAUUCGAGUAACCUACAACGUCACUUUCUCCUCUUCGUGAAAAUCAGAUACUUAGAGAUGGUUUACCCUCAAACAGACUGUGCCAUUGACCUUGUUCCCACAGCGAGUUGACCAGACUCGCGAAGUUUUAUUAAAAUCCCUAUCGGGCGCCCCACCGGAUAGAUGUACUAACGACACCCUAUGUUUAAUACGUACCCCUAAAUUUAGGUGUUUCCUAAGAGAAUCUAAGAAUGUACUGAGGAUUCUAAUGACUAAAACGAAAACGUUUUCACACAUCAGGCCUACCCGCACUUGCUGUGUUCCCAUCAAAUGAGCCAUGUUCCCCAAUAUACCUAGGACCUAUACAAUAACUGGCAUAGAUGAGUCAAUUCUCACUGCACAUAUCGAAGCCAUAGUGAGAAGAACUCUAUUAAUGACGUUUCUCCGGGCUACGUGAAAAGUUCCUACGUCCACUAGAACAGUCUAACGGCUGUUACCGUCCUAGUUACCUCUACAUGGUGUACUAUCUAGGUCGUAACGUACCACUUAGUUUUUACCGGCUCUAUUACUCUACGUAAGUCUAGCGCCAUACCACGAGGUCCGGGUUACGCCCUCUGGCCGGGUCGUACACCCUACAAGAAGACUACGAGUCGACGCUCUCACGUUGGAAUGCACACGGCCUCGGUAGGGUCUCGGUCACGCUGUGUGUCCUCGGCACACUUCCCCACGAUAGCCUAAGCCUCUAUUGACUUGGUUCUAUCAUGAGGAAACCCGCUAAGUUCCGGUGUCUAAAGUAGCCCUAGAUGUACCGCGGGUCUCCUAUAAAUUCAUGUCAUGAGAGAGGCUAGGUUUAAUUAACUGGAUCGAGAUCAUCUUGAGUACCCUCAUUAAAUAAAUCAACUCAUAAACGCGUAGACACCUCGCUACUAUACCCAUGUAUUGGUAAAGAAAAACGUGCACACACAGUGAGCAAUACUAGUGAGUUAGUGUAACAUCUGUGUCGUACUUAGAGGAGUCAAAGAGUGGUUCAUGGGACAUCACAUCCACACGUAGCACGACAAAUAAGAAUUGAAACUUCUCUUCCAAUAUCUACACACUUGGGACGUUACAUGUGGUACAAAGUAGAACUAACAUAGCAGCACGUUUUUAGUUCGGCAGACUUCGCGGAUCGAAUAGGUUACAUUCGCGGAUCGGUUGGCCGUUCCUCGCGUCCGCCGCCGCUUCCCGUCACUGUGACACAGCGCACCGGCGGAUCACGCAGACUUCGUCGAGGACUUAGGACUACGUAGUAUCGAACCCGGAGGAUGCCACAACACCGUGCAACGGAACGGUGGAGCAACGGGAGUUUCACAAACUGUUUUACUGCGAAUUACAACAAGUUGAUCUUUCGUCCAAAGCGGUUAUCUUACUAUGCAUUCGAAACACAUAAACUCUUUUUUCUUUCGUCCAAAGUGGUUUGGUGCGCGUAGCCUGAUUCCUUCGCCGUCGUGUUCUUUUUUGGACGAUUUCACAGACUUCACUUAACUUACGAAAGAGGUAAAAUGGACAGGAAAAGACAACCGGCACGAUCUCAAAAGGGUAAACUUACCGAUCUAUAAAGCAUAUUACAUGUACGGAGACAGUUUAUAUCUAUACAAACGGAAUAUGGUUAAAUAUACAAAAUUGUAUUAGUUACUACGAACUAAUUAAAUCUAUCAUAUUGGGACUAUGCGCCCUCGAGGAAAAUUGGCGGACAAAAUCAUUAUACUACUAUCUAAUCGGACUCCUUAGUCUUGGAUGUAUCAAGGUAAAUCGUAGACUUUGUAACAAAAAUACACAUACUAUUUUUUUUAGUACUGGGGGAGGGAGGAGUAAAAACAUUACAUCAGCUGCGGUAGUACACAUAGUUUGAACUCAUACCUCAUUACUUUUUGACCUACCCACUAGGUACAAAGGGUUGGUUUAUACGUACCCUGCCGCACUUUACAUCGUCGUGUUGACCAUUGCGAUGCUCCUAUUAUAGAGAUUUAAACAGUCAGUUGGCAGACUUACCGAGCGAAGGUCUAAGGGAGACAUUUUUAUUACGUCCUAGAAUGCAAAAGUCCAAACCCAAAAGGACAAUUGGAAAAAAAGAUAAUUAUACGCAGGUUUACACUUUACACCUCACAAGAAGAAAGACGCUAGAAUGUGUACAUGCCUACAUUGUUUAAAUUCUAACAGAAGGUGUGGUUUAUGAGACUUGACUAACAUCAUUCAUUAAAUUCCAUACUUAGACUAGUUCUGUACACGUUGGUUUGUUAAUCGGGCAGAAGUAGCUCUUUAUCUUGUAGAUAGUAUAGAUAAAGUCAUAACCAAGGACGUGACCAUCACCGACAUGAACAGUAAAGUAUAGACCAGACCUCCGUCUUUUCUUUCGGAUUGUCACUCACACGAGAAUACCAGAAUAGAAGAUAUUGUACAUAGUUACCCCUAAUAGUACCAAAUGGUAUAAAUCAUAAAUACAAUAUAGAUAGUAAACGUGCUGGUCAAAGAUGAGCACUAGGACGGUGUCCGUCUUGAACACCCUCGAGGUCAAUCAUCCUUUCCAGUGUCCCUCGUGGACCUUUUAUGACUCUUAGCGGCUAAGUGUAUGUUCCUCAACCUCUUCAAAUGUUUAUUCAAACUUUCCAAGUAACCUGUUCCUCCAAAACCCGAACAUAUGAUACCAGCAAAUCUUCUGUUAUGACUCCAACGACAGUUCUUGAGUUCUACGCAACUUUCCAAGUAACCUGUUCCUCCAGAACCCGAACAUAUGAUACCAGCAAAUCUUCUGUUAUGACUCCAACGACAGUUCUACACAAGGCUCAGGAGCAGUGUACCUGGGCUACUCAAGAAUCGACUCCAUGGUUAAAACUAGUGGAUUUUCUGUAAUCUUAAAACGGCCACCCUAAGGACUGUUUAAUUCUCUAAUAGCAGUACAAGAGAGAGAGCAAUGGAUCCAAGUCUCGAACUGUUUCCACAUAGUGUCCUUAGAUCAUAGUAACCAACCAAAGACGACCCUCUUUCUAGUAAACCGUGACCAAAUACUCAUGUACAGAGUUCCGUUAGAAAUACUAGUAGACUCUCCAAACAGGUAACGUUUGCAUUGGUGACUAAUGCACUAAUUCUCUCUUGUUGACACAUCGCCAGAGUCUAGCGUAUGUUAAAGACACGUAACAAGUUCUGUAACAGAGUUAAGGCUUCAUCAAAAGCCG
RNAcentral lists this ribosomal RNA (5335 nucleotides) under Triticum aestivum (bread wheat). Its description in RNAcentral is "partial small subunit ribosomal RNA". Lineage: Eukaryota; Viridiplantae; Streptophyta; Magnoliopsida; Poales; Poaceae. The record is from RNAcentral.